RNAcentral lists this ribosomal RNA (460 nucleotides) under uncultured bacterium. RNAcentral describes it as "partial 16S ribosomal RNA". It matches the Rfam family "Bacterial small subunit ribosomal RNA", at positions 338 to 795 of the family's 1533-position model. The record is from RNAcentral.
CCUACGGGAGGCAGCAGUGAGGAAUAUUGGUCAAUGGGCGGAAGCCUGAACCCGCCAAGUAGCGUGCAGGAUGACGGCCCUACGGGUUGUAAACUGCUUUUAUCCGGGAAUAACGCGCCUUACGUGUAGGGCUUUGCAUGUACCGUAUGAUAAAGGACCGGCUAAUUCCGUGCCAGCAGCCGCGGUAAUACGGAAGGUCCGGGCGUUAUCCGGAUUUAUGGGGUUUAAAGGGAGCGUAGGCCGCAUGUCAAGCGUGCUGUGAAAUGUCCGGGCGCAACCCGGGCCUUGCAGCGCGAACUGGCGUGCUUGAGUCGGCGGAAAGCAGGCGGAAUUCGUCGUGUAGCGGUGAAAUGCUUAGAUAUGACGAAGAACCCCGAUUGCGAAGGCAGCUUGCUGCAGCGGAACUGACGCUGAUGCUCGAAAGCGCGGGUAUCGAACAGGAUUAGAUACCCUUGUAGUC